RNAcentral lists this ribosomal RNA (397 nucleotides) under uncultured bacterium. RNAcentral describes it as "partial 16S ribosomal RNA". It matches the Rfam family "Bacterial small subunit ribosomal RNA", at positions 523 to 918 of the family's 1533-position model. The record is from RNAcentral.
AUACGUAGGGGGCGAGCGUUGUCCGGAAUGAUUGGGCGUAAAGGGCGCGUAGGCGGCCUGUUAAGUCUGGAGUGAAAGUCCUAUUUUCAAGAUGGGAAUUGCUUUGGAUACUGAUGGGCUUGAGUGCAGGAGAGGUUAUCGGAAUUCCCGGUGUAGCGGUGAAAUGCGUAGAGAUCGGGAGGAACACCAGUGGCGAAGGCGGGUAACUGGACUGCAACUGACGCUGAGGCGCGAAAGUGUGGGGAGCAAACAGGAUUAGAUACCCUGGUAGUCCACACUGUAAACGAUGAAUGCUAGGUGUAAGAGGUAUCGACCCCUUUUGUGCCGGAGUUAACACAAUAAGCAUUCCGCCUGGGGAGUACGGCCGCAAGGUUGAAACUCAAAUGAAUUGACGGGG